UACGGGGGGGGCAAGCGUUGUUCGGAAUUACUGGGCGUAAAGGGCUCGUAGGCGGCCAACUAAGUCAGACGUGAAAUCCCUCGGCUUAACCGGGGAACUGCGUCUGAUACUGGAUGGCUUGAGUUCGGGAGAGGGAUGUGGAAUUCCAGGUGUAGCGGUGAAAUGCGUAGAUAUCUGGAGGAACACCGGUGGCGAAGGCGGCAUCCUGGACCGGCAUUGACGCUGAACAGCGAAAGCCAGGGGAGCAAACGGG
This 253-nucleotide ribosomal RNA is filed under the name uncultured bacterium. RNAcentral describes it as "partial 16S ribosomal RNA". It matches the Rfam family "Bacterial small subunit ribosomal RNA", at positions 524 to 776 of the family's 1533-position model. The record is from RNAcentral.